Molecule: long non-coding RNA, 218 nt
Organism: Triticum dicoccoides
Lineage: Eukaryota; Viridiplantae; Streptophyta; Magnoliopsida; Poales; Poaceae
Exons: 3
Source: RefSeq, a predicted model, not a curated record
CGUGCUCGCUCGGCUCGCCGGCGGCGGCCGGUUUGGCCGGUCAAUUCCAGAUGGGCUUGACAAGCAGACCUCAGUAGCGCCAUCCCUUUCUGCCGCCGGCGAUCAAGGUGAGCACGCGUCGCCGAUUGUGAUCGAGCAGAAUGCGACGGCGUCAUGGACGGAGAAGGGCCGGACGUACCACCGGUACGCGGUGACGGUGACCAACAGGUCGCUGAACA